CAAGGAACGGAAAUGAGCCGUUGGUUGACUUAACUUCAGCGUUUCAUACGUUCCUUA
Molecule: microRNA precursor, 57 nt
Filed under: Ciona intestinalis (vase tunicate)
Lineage: Eukaryota; Metazoa; Chordata; Ascidiacea; Phlebobranchia; Cionidae
Description: microRNA cin-mir-4067 precursor
Source: miRBase by way of RNAcentral